ACAGUAUGCAACUUGUGUCACAGUGGGAUGUUGAUAAAUCAGAAAGCUUUGCAUUAUGUUUGCAAGUGCCUUAGCAUGCUUAUACAUAGCUUAUAUUAACUUACUAACAGCUAACAUGUCCUCUCUGGUAGACAAAAGGUGCUAAAAUUAUUUUUUUCACAUGCUUAAAUCUCAU
Molecule: long non-coding RNA, 175 nt
Organism: Etheostoma cragini (Arkansas darter)
Lineage: Eukaryota; Metazoa; Chordata; Actinopteri; Perciformes; Percidae
Exons: 3
Source: RefSeq, a predicted model, not a curated record